AUUGAACGCUGGCGGCAGGCUUAACACAUGCAAGUCGAGCGCGCGGCGGACGGGUGAGUAAAGUCUCGGCAACUGCCUGCUGGAGGGGGAUAACUACUGGAAACGCUAGCUAAUACCCCAUACCAUCAGAUGUGCCCAGAUGGGAUUAGCGAGUAGGUGUGGUAAUGUCUCACCUAGGCGACGAUCCCUAGCUGGUCUGAGAGGAUGACCAGCCACACUGGAACGGAGACACGGUCCAGACUCCUACGGGAGGAAGCAGUGGGGAAUAUUGCACAAUGGGCGCAAGCCUGAUGCAGCCAUGCCGCGUGUGUGAAGAAGGCCUUCGGGUUGUAAAGCACUUUCAGCGAGGAGGCGUUACUCGCAGAAGAAGCACCGGCUAACUCCGUGCCAGCAGCCGCGGUAAUAC
RNAcentral lists this ribosomal RNA (406 nucleotides) under uncultured bacterium. Its description in RNAcentral is "partial 16S ribosomal RNA". It matches the Rfam family "Bacterial small subunit ribosomal RNA", at positions 30 to 526 of the family's 1533-position model. The record is from RNAcentral.